RNAcentral lists this transfer RNA (72 nucleotides) under Pristis zijsron (longcomb sawfish). Its description in RNAcentral is "tRNA-Leu". It matches the Rfam family "tRNA". Rfam says of the family: Transfer RNA (tRNA) molecules are approximately 80 nucleotides in length. Lineage: Eukaryota; Metazoa; Chordata; Chondrichthyes; Rhinopristiformes; Pristidae. The record is from RNAcentral.
GCUUCUGAAAGAUAACAGUUAUCUAUUGGUCUUAGGAACCAAAAAUUCUUGGUGCAACUCCAAGCAAAAGCU